RNAcentral lists this ribosomal RNA (484 nucleotides) under uncultured bacterium. Its description in RNAcentral is "partial 16S ribosomal RNA". It matches the Rfam family "Bacterial small subunit ribosomal RNA", at positions 30 to 507 of the family's 1533-position model. The record is from RNAcentral.
AUUGAACGCUGGCGGCAGGCCUAACACAUGCAAGUCGAGCGGAUGAAGGGAGCUUGCUCCUGGAUUCAGCGGCGGACGGGUGAGUAAUGCCUAGGAAUCUGCCUGGUAGUGGGGGAUAACGUCCGGAAACGGGCGCUAAUACCGCAUACGUCCUGAGGGAGAAAGUGGGGGAUCUUCGGACCUCACGCUAUCAGAUGAGCCUAGGUCGGAUUAGCUAGUUGGUGGGGUAAAGGCCUACCAAGGCGACGAUCCGUAACUGGUCUGAGAGGAUGAUCAGUCACACUGGAACUGAGACACGGUCCAGACUCCUACGGGAGGCGGCAGUGGGGAAUAUUGGACAAUGGGCGAAAGCCUGAUCCAGCCAUGCCGCGUGUGUGAAGAAGGUCUUCGGAUUGUAAAGCACUUUAAGUUGGGAGGAAGGGCUGUAAGUUAAUACCUUGCUGUUUUGACGUUACCAACAGAAUAAGCACCGGCUAACUUCGUG